This 304-nucleotide unclassified non-coding RNA is filed under the name Hevea brasiliensis (rubber tree). The record is from RNAcentral. Lineage: Eukaryota; Viridiplantae; Streptophyta; Magnoliopsida; Malpighiales; Euphorbiaceae.
AGGACCAAAGCACCAAAUCUUCUUAGCAAGAUCUUUGUCCCAACCAAACUCCUCUGACAAGAUUUUAGACCUAACUUUAGGGUCAUCCCGUGGUCCGAUGCGGCCAUCGUCAAUAGCUUCUGCCAGUCCUUCCUCCAUCGGUCGUGCUUCCAUGUAUAGACGAUUGUGUUUGUUGGGGGAUUUACUCAUCACCGUGCGGCAUGACCUCUCAAGGACAGUUUCACGGAAAGAGACAACAGGGUCAGAUUUUAUGAUCUCAGCUCCACCCAUGAAGUCAUCUUGCAAAUCCUUCAGACAGAUCUCA